UACGUAGGGGGCCGAGCGUUGUCCGGAGUUACUGGGCGUAAAGCGUGCGCAGGCGGUUCGUUGUGUCGGCGGUGAAAGCCCCGGGCUUAACCUGGGAAUGGCCGUCGAAACUGGCGAACUGGAGUGUGGCAGAGGGGGGUGGAAUUCCGCGUGUAGCAGUGAAAUGCGUAGAGAUGCGGAGGAACACCGAUGGCGAAGGCAGCCCCCUGGGCUGACCACUGACGCCUCAGGCACGAAAGCGUGGGGAGCAAACAGG
RNAcentral lists this ribosomal RNA (256 nucleotides) under uncultured bacterium. RNAcentral's name for it is "partial 16S ribosomal RNA". It matches the Rfam family "Bacterial small subunit ribosomal RNA", at positions 524 to 776 of the family's 1533-position model. The record is from RNAcentral.